RNAcentral lists this ribosomal RNA (456 nucleotides) under Triticum aestivum (bread wheat). RNAcentral describes it as "partial small subunit ribosomal RNA". The record is from RNAcentral. Lineage: Eukaryota; Viridiplantae; Streptophyta; Magnoliopsida; Poales; Poaceae.
AUGGCGUUGGUCUCUGUUUCAGGAGUAUAUUUUUUCGUAAAAGCACGCUUCGAGGAGUUAAAGACUUCAUGCGCCUUCAGUUCAGACAACCCAUGCGUCUUCAAUUCUGUGGCAAGCCUCUUUGCCGUGGAAUACAUGGCGGUAAUGGCUUUGUACAUCCGCUGGCGUUGGUUACGCAACUUGAGCGCCAUGCCGAUAGCCGUCGUCUGCAUCCUCGACAACAGCCCUGCAGCGGUCACGAUCAUAGUCGCCCCGACGUUCUUGUGGGGACAUCUUUUUGGGGAUCCCCAGUUCGCCACCUGCCUCUCGUGUGUAUUGGCGGCGGCGCUCGUCGUCUUCCUCUGGUGGUGCAUCUCCAUAGACAGGAUUCUUUCAAAGAACUCACCACUGCCUCACCUCCAAGAAGAAACAUGCAAAAAUGGAGGCGUGCUCCAUAUUUUCACAUGUGAUUAUUAG